This 301-nucleotide ribosomal RNA is filed under the name uncultured bacterium. RNAcentral's name for it is "partial 16S ribosomal RNA". It matches the Rfam family "Bacterial small subunit ribosomal RNA", at positions 509 to 807 of the family's 1533-position model. The record is from RNAcentral.
CAGCCGCCGCGGUAAAACGUAGGGUGCAAGCGUUAAUCGGAAUUACUGGGCGUAAAGCGUGCGCAGGCGGUUCUAUAAGACAGAUGUGAAAUCCCCGGGCUCAACCUGGGAACUGCAUUUGUGACUGUAGAGCUGGAGUGCGGCAGAGGGGGAUGGAAUUCCGCGUGUAGCAGUGAAAUGCGUAGAUAUGCGGAGGAACACCGAUGGCGAAGGCAAUCCCCUGGGCCUGCACUGACGCUCAUGCACGAAAGCGUGGGGAGCAAACAGGAUUAGAUACCCCCGUAGUCCCUGUCUCUUAUAC